This 1318-nucleotide ribosomal RNA is filed under the name Tintinnopsis sp. RNAcentral describes it as "eukaryotic LSU rRNA". It matches the Rfam family "Eukaryotic large subunit ribosomal RNA", at positions 1 to 1303 of the family's 3401-position model. The record is from RNAcentral. Lineage: Eukaryota; Ciliophora; Spirotrichea; Tintinnida; Codonellidae.
UGAACUCAUUGAGAGUUGAGGCAGCGCAUGCUUGCAUGCCAGUGCUUAGACACUUAAAUUUUCUCAGCAUCUGAAAUGAAGUAGGACCACCCGCUGAACUUAAGCAUAUCAUUAAGCGGAGGAAAAGAAACUAACAAGGAUUCCCUCAGUACGGGCGACGGAAGCGGGAAAAGCCCACAUUGGUAAUCUCCGGGCGCUAGCUCGGCGAAUUGUAAUCUGAAGAUCGUUAGUCUAAUUGGGCCCGACGCCGAAGUGCGCGCGAGCGCGCCGCCAAAGAGGGUGAGAGCCCCGUCAGGCGCUGGGCCCUACAAGGGCUGGCAAUCGAAGAGUCGUGUACUUUGAUACUAGUGCACCAAGCGGGAGAUAAACUUCUUCUAAGGCUAAAUAUAAGUAGGAAACCGAUAGCGAACAAGUACUGUGAAGGAAAGAUGAAAAGCACUUUGGAAAGAAAGUUAAAAGACUUGAAAUCGUUGAGGCGGACCCGGUAGAAAUGUAUUCUAGCGAAGCGCUCGGGGAAGCCUGUAUUCGGGCCACUUGAGCGCCAGCCGAGACAAGAUGGAGUCGCAUCAUGCCAGAGGCGGCGCGCUUUGUAGCUUGCUAUAGAGCGCGCUGGCCGGGCGUGGCGCGGCUUGAGGGGCCUUGUGCGAUCUUGUCAAAAUGGUUUUUACCGACUCGUCUUGAAACACGAACCAAGGAGUCUAAGACUAACGCGAGUGUGGUGGUGGAGAAACCAACACGCGAAAUGAAAGUAAAUGAUGCCAAGCACCCUGCAGCAUCGACCGACUUUUUUCUCUUGGAAGAGGUUUGAGUAAGAGCGUUAUUCUUAGGACCCGAAAGAUGGUGAACUAUGCCUGUGUAGGGUGAAGUCAGGGGAAACUCUGAUGGAAGCUCGUAGCGAUACUGACGUGCAAAUCGUUCGUCGAACAUGGGUAUAGGGGCGAAAGACUAAUCGAACCAUCUAGUAGCUGGUUCCCUCCGAAGUUUCCCUCAGGAUAGCUGGGACAGCUACGCAGUUUUAUUAGGUAAAGCGAAUGAUUAGAGGCAUCGGGGAUAAAAUGUCCUUGACCUAUUCUCAAACUUUAAAUUGGUAAGAACUCCUUUCUUUGCUUAAUUGAAGAAGGAGGUUCAAUGCGUGUCCUUAGUGGGCCAUUUUUGGUAAGCAGAACUGGCGAUGAGGGAUGCUCCUAACGUCGGGUUAAGGUGCCAAACUACACGCUCAUCAGAAACUACAAAGGGUGUUAGUUCAUGAAGACAGCAGGACGGUGGCCAUGGAAGUCGGAACCCGCUAAGGAGUGUGUAACAACUCACCUGCCGAAUG